Long non-coding RNA from Gopherus flavomarginatus (Mexican gopher tortoise), 886 nucleotides. RefSeq lists it as uncharacterized. The record is from RefSeq and is a predicted model, not a curated record. NCBI's taxonomy places the organism in Eukaryota, Metazoa, Chordata, Testudines, Testudinidae. The transcript has 3 exons.
UCUCUGGAGCCAACAACUUAUUCUCCCCACUUCACAGCGAGACGGUUAAAGGGUUAAUUACACUAAAACCGGGCUGAGAGGCCGUAUCCCCAACAGAGGACCCAGCACAGCCGCAGUAAAGCCAGAGGCCGGGUGAGCAAAGGGCUCAAGGCACAGUUAUCUGGUGUCCCAGCCAGACCCGGCCCCACCCAGCCACAAUGCAGACGGGCUGCCAACCCUUCUGGUUUCACUGGGAGUCUCCUGGAAUCAGGCCCUACUUCCCAGAGGCUACUGCAGCCAAACCAGGAGAUUUGGGGUGCUAGCAGUCCAGCAGCUCAGCGGGGCUAAGGAAGGUUUCCUGCCUGCCCUCGCUCUGUGCUGCUCCUGGAAGCAGCUGGCACCAUCCCUGCAGCCCCUGGUGGAUCAAGGAGGGGGGAAGAAGAGGGAGAGAGACAGGGGUCUCUGCUCAUUGCCACUGCCCCAAGUGCUGACUCUGCAUCUCUCAUUGACCAGGAAGUGCGGCCGAUGGGAGCUGUGGGGGCAAUGCCUGCAGGCAGGGGCAGCAUGCAAAACUCCCUGGCCCCCCCCACACCUAGAAGCCUCUGCCAGAAUGAUGUGUCAGUGGCUUUUGGGAGCUGUCUAAGGUGAUGCAGCAAAACUGUCUGAGCAUCCUGAGGAUGGAGGCAUCCCCAACUAUUUCUGUGCAGUCAAAACUCAAAUAUAAAAUUACUUCCCAUUCCUGUCGAUCUAAUCCGCACAUUCCUGAAUCCAGCACAAGUCAUCUCACUGAUGGAUGUUCCCAGACUGCUUUGCAAUGAGAUUCUUGAAUAAGCAGCUUAAUUGUAUAUUGUCAGUGAUCUGCAAGGAACUUGAAACUAGUUAUUAAAGCUAAUUUUGAGUAGACCUA